UAACGAGCGAAGUCACGGUACACAUGUUAUGGGGCAAAAGGUAAAUAAAAUAUCUAAACAUAAUUAUCAUGAGAGUAACCAACUGACGGACGGUCCAACUCAAGUUAGUCAUGCAUCAAGCACCGUCACUGAUACUCGUCUCCAUAACAACUUUGCGGAAAACGACAUGAUCUACCUCUACAAUGCCAUCCUGACAAUAACCAGUCUAACUUGACAUUGACUCAGAAACCAUCGUGUGUUUUCCACUAUGAUCGAAUAUAUAUUUCUCGUCUUUAUAUCAAUCCUCAUAAUAGCCACUUCGCUAGUGUUGACGCGGAUUUACUUAAAAUGCACAAUCAAACGAUGCACUUCGAAGGUGUCCAUGAAAGGAAAAGUGAUCAUAAUAACCGGAUCGAAUACUGGAAUAGGAUACCAUGCUGCUGUAGACUUAGCCAGAAGAGGAGGAAGGAUCAUACUUGCUUGCAGGAAUAUAGAAAGAGGUAAGGCGGCGAAAGACAGAAUUACAACUGAAACAGGAAAUAAAAAUGUUAUUUUCAAGCAUUUGAAUUUGUCAUCUUUGAAGUCUGUUAGAGAAUUCGCUGAAGAUAUUAAGAAUACUGAGAGUAGACUGGAUGUGUUAAUAAACAAUGCUGGAGUGCACGGGUUUGGAGACCGGUACACGCAAGAUGGAAUCGUGGAAGGUAUGCAGAUCAACUACUUCGCUCCAUUCUUGUUGAGCUUGCUUCUCGUUCCCAUGCUGAAGGCAUCCAAGGGAAGAAUAGUUAAUGUGAGUUCUUUAUGCCACUAUAGAGGAGAAGUCAACCUUGAUAAAAUUAAUAAAGCCGGUGCUUAUGAUGACACAGCAACAUACGCUAAUAGCAAACUAUGCACCUUAAUCUUUACUAAAGUAUUAGCACAAGAAGUUAGCGGUGAAGUCACGGUCAACUCCAUGCAUCCAGGUGUCAUUUUGACGAACAUUGUUCCGGAUGGGGCACAACAGAGAACGAUAUUCAAAUAUUGGUGCUGGUUAUGCUGCAGGACUGCGGAGGAGGGUGCUCAGACUAUAAUAUACCUAGCAGUGGCAGAUGAAGUGAAAACAAUUUCUGGGAAAUAUUUCGUGGACUGCAAUGAACGAUUCGUGUUGUGGAAAGCUAAUGACAAGAAGCUCGCAAAGGAACUGUGGUGCUUUUCUGAAGAAUUGGUUAAGCUAAAUUAGUGAUAUUAAGUAUGGUGGAACUAUUUUAUAGGUUUAUUGCCUAACGUUAUGAUUAGAAUAGCGCUGACGCUGUCGUUCGUGGUGUGCUGGCUGCCGUUCUUCUCGCUCCGGGUUCUGUUCUUCGUGUGCAACAUCCGACAACUCAUGCGACUGCCUCAG
This 1354-nucleotide unclassified non-coding RNA is filed under the name Pectinophora gossypiella (pink bollworm). Its description in RNAcentral is "neuromedin-U receptor 1-like". The record is from RNAcentral. Lineage: Eukaryota; Metazoa; Arthropoda; Insecta; Lepidoptera; Gelechiidae.